This 464-nucleotide ribosomal RNA is filed under the name uncultured bacterium. RNAcentral describes it as "bacterial SSU rRNA". It matches the Rfam family "Bacterial small subunit ribosomal RNA", at positions 8 to 518 of the family's 1533-position model. The record is from RNAcentral.
AGAGUUUGAUUCUGGCUCAGAAUGAACGCUGGCGGCAUGCCUAACACAUGCAAGUCGAACGAAGGCUUCGGCCUUAGUGGCGCACGGGUGCGUAACGCGUGGGAAUCUGCCCUUGGUUCGGAAUAACAGUUAGAAAUGACUGCUAAUACCGGAUGAUGACGUAAGUCCAAAGAUUUAUCGCCGAGGGAUGAGCCCGCGUAGGACUAGCUAGUUGGUGUGGUAAGAGCGCACCAAGGCGACGAUCCUUAGCUGGUCUGAGAGGAUGAUCAGCCACACUGGGACUGAGACACGGCCCAGACUCCUACGGGAGGCAGCAGUGGGGAAUAUUGGACAAUGGGCGAAAGCCUGAUCCCAGCAAUGCCGCGUGAGUGAUGAAGGCCUUAGGGUUGUAAAGCUCUUUUACCCGGGAUGAUAAUGACAGUACCGGGAGAAUAAGCUCCGGCUAACUCCGUGCCAGCCGCCGC